Molecule: long non-coding RNA, 219 nt
Organism: Aethalodelphis obliquidens (Pacific white-sided dolphin)
Lineage: Eukaryota; Metazoa; Chordata; Mammalia; Artiodactyla; Delphinidae
Exons: 4
Source: RefSeq, a predicted model, not a curated record
UUUGUUUAAGAAACAAAAAAAAAAAAAAAAUUAAAUUUAAAAAAAAAAGAAAGAAAAGACUGUCAUUCAUACCAUUCACAUCUAAAGACUGAAUUUUAUCUGUUUUGAAAAUGAACUUCUCCUGCUACACAGAAGUAACAAUAUGGUAGUCAGUUUUGUAUUUAGAAAUGUAUUGGUAGCGGGGAUGUUUUCACAAUUUUCAGAGAUUAUGCAUUCUUC